CAGCCGCCGCGGUAAUACCGGCGGCCCGAGUGGCGGCCACUAUUAUUGGGCUUAAAGCGUCCGUAGCCGGGUUGGUUAGUCUCCCGGGAAAUCUGGCCGCUUAACGGUCAGAAUUCCGGGAGAUACUGCCAGCCUAGGGACCGGGAGAGGCCGAGGGUAUUCCCGGAGUAGGGGUGAAAUCCUAUAAUCCCGGGAGGACCACCUGUGGCGAAGGCGCUCGGCUGGAACGGGUCCGACGGUGAGGGACGAAGGCCAGGGGAGCAAACCGGAUUAGAUGCCCGGGUAGUCCUGGCUGUAAACGAUGCGGACUUUGUGUCGGACAAGCUACGAGCUUGUCCGGUGCCGGAGGGAAACCGUUAAGUCCGCCGCCUGGGGAGUACGGCCGCAAGGCUGAAACUUAAAGGAAUUGGCGGG
This 414-nucleotide ribosomal RNA is filed under the name uncultured microorganism. RNAcentral's name for it is "bacterial SSU rRNA". It matches the Rfam family "Archaeal small subunit ribosomal RNA", at positions 459 to 872 of the family's 1478-position model. The record is from RNAcentral.